UACGAAGGUCCCGAGCGUUGUUCGGAAUCACUGGGCGUAAAGGGAGCGUAGGCGGUGCGGUAAGUCAGAUGUGAAAUCCCGGGGCUCAACCCCGGAACUGCAUCCGAUACUGCCGUGCUAGAGGAUUGGAGAGGUAGCUGGAAUUCUUGGUGUAGCAGUGAAAUGCGUGGAGAUCAAGAGGAACACUCGUGGCGAAAGCGAGCUACUGGACAAUAUCUGACGCUGAGGCUCGAAGGCCAGGGUAGCGAAAGGG
This 253-nucleotide ribosomal RNA is filed under the name uncultured bacterium. Its description in RNAcentral is "partial 16S ribosomal RNA". It matches the Rfam family "Bacterial small subunit ribosomal RNA", at positions 524 to 776 of the family's 1533-position model. The record is from RNAcentral.